Molecule: long non-coding RNA, 965 nt
Organism: Onychostoma macrolepis
Lineage: Eukaryota; Metazoa; Chordata; Actinopteri; Cypriniformes; Cyprinidae
Exons: 3
Source: RefSeq, a predicted model, not a curated record
CCCAAAAAUUCCUGACAGCAUUAAUAUAAGGAGAUGAUGUGCCACUACAGGAAAAAUGUGGCCAAUGAAAUUUUGCUGGCAUCAGUGUGAAGAGAGGAGUACUGCUCUGUGUGUGGAGAAAAAGAAAGAGCCCAAACAGAGGAGCAAUGCAUCUGGAUUCAAUGUGAAUUAUGCCAGAGGUAGUUUCAUGUUCAGUGCCUCAACAUUAAUCUGCUACCAGAAGAACAAGCAUGGAUUUGUGAUGUGUGUUUGUAAGCUAUUUAGUUAGAGGAGCUGAUGCUGAAAGUGUGUUUCAAUUGUAAGAAAAUUGUUUUGCACUGAUAAGGGACAACGCAAACUAUGAAAACAUAUUUGAUUACAUAAACAGUUUAUACAUAGAAAAUAAUUAAAUUUUCGAUUCAUCAAAAUAUCCACCAUUAGCAGCUGAAAACCUGGGCCAAGUUUAAACCAGUAACCAGGCAUCACAGCUGGCAAAGGGGCAUGUCUGACUUUGACAUGUAUAUAUUGCCAUUAUUAUGUAAUCAAAAUGAAAAUUAUUAUUGCUGGUCUUCAAUGAUAAUGUCAAGUUACUUUAAUGUACUGUAUUUGCACCAAAAAAAAUAAGGAUUUAUGCUGAUGUCAUCCAAAACCACACUUUGCCAGGGGUGUUUCCAAACGUUUGGAGGACAGUGUAUGUGUGUAUUUUUAUUCUCAUCCUAUUUUUUAUUGUCUGUGUGUUGUCUCUGCUGGAAGCCUGUGACACUAAAACAAAUUCCUUGUAUGAGCAAGAAUACUUGGCAAUAAAGCUCUUUCUGAUUCUGAUUCUGAGAAAUGUGUAUUGCCUAUUUGAUAUGUCAUGGAAAUAAUUUUUUUUUUUUUUAGUAUUCUGUUUAUGUUUCAUAUUGUUGUGGUGCUCGUUGUCUUCUGCUGGCCCUUUAUGUGAAUGUAGUUUUUAAAAACACACUUGCAUUUGUGAGGGAGAAAUA